Molecule: ribosomal RNA, 445 nt
Filed under: uncultured marine bacterium
Lineage: Bacteria
Description: bacterial SSU rRNA
Rfam family: Bacterial small subunit ribosomal RNA
Source: RNAcentral
UGGCGGCAGGCCUAACACAUGCAAGUCGAGCGCUUCACUUCGGUGAGGAGCGGCGGACGGGUUAGUAACGCGUGGGAACAUACCCUUCUCUAAGGAAUAGCCACUGGAAACGGUGAGUAAUACCUUAUACGCCCUUCGGGGGAAAGAUUUAUCGGAGAAGGAUUGGCCCGCGUUAGAUUAGAUAGUUGGUGGGGUAAUGGCCUACCAAGUCUACGAUCUAUAGCUGGGGUGAGAGGAUGAUCAGCAACACUGGGACUGAGACACGGCCCAGACUCCUACGGGAGGCAGCAGUGGGGAAUCUUAGACAAUUUGCGCAAGCCUGAUCUAGCCUUGCCGCGUGAGUGAUGAAGCCCCUAGGGUCGUAAAGCUCUUUCGCCAGAGAUGAUAAUGACAGUAUCUGGUAAAGAAACCCCGGCUAACUCCGUGCCAGCAGCCGCGGUAAUAC